UGGGGGAUAUUGCACAAUGGGCGAAAGCCUGAUGCAGCGACGCCGCGUGGGGGAUGAAGGCCUUCGGGUUGUAAACUUCUUUUGCUCUGAACAAGGCAUGCUAAUGGGUGUGUUGAGUGUAGGGGUUGAUUAGCGCCGGCUAACUACGUGCCAGCAGCCGCGGUAAUACGUAGGGCGCGAGCGUUGUCCGGAACUAUUGGGCGUAAAGGGCUUGUAGGUGGCUGGUUGCGUCUGUCGUGAAAGCUCAUGGCUUAACUGUGGGUUUGCGGUGGGUACGGGCUGGCUUGAGUGCAGUAGGGGAGGCUGGAAUUCCUGGUGUAGCGGUGGAAUGCGCAGAUAUCAGGAGGAAUACCGGUGGCGAAGGCGGGUCUCUGGGCUGUUACUGACACUGAGGAGCGAAAGCAUGGGGAGCGAACAGG
Molecule: ribosomal RNA, 419 nt
Filed under: bacterium
Lineage: Bacteria
Description: partial 16S ribosomal RNA
Rfam family: Bacterial small subunit ribosomal RNA
Source: RNAcentral